Nomascus leucogenys (northern white-cheeked gibbon) is the source of this 7338-nucleotide RNA transcript. It is a transcript of the gene named programmed cell death 4, with no coding region annotated. The transcript is spliced from 15 exons. The record is from RefSeq and is a predicted model, not a curated record. Lineage: Eukaryota; Metazoa; Chordata; Mammalia; Primates; Hylobatidae.
CUUUUCCUCCUCAGCUCCGGCUCCGCCGCCACGAUUGGCCAGCCGACCACCCGGCCUUGGCCAAUAAGCGCCGCCCUCUCGCCCCCGUGUUACUGGGUAGAAGAAAACAAAAACAAACGGAGCGAGAAGGGCCAGAGACUCUCCGAGGCGGCGACAGAGGAAGAGCGGGGUUGGGGCCGGCUGACCAGGGACCUGGGCGAGCAGCGGCGGGGGCCCUAGGGAUUCUGAAGGAAGAUUUCCAUUUGGUAAUUUGUUUAAUCAGUGCAAGCAAAAUUAAGGGAAAAUGGAUGUAGAAAAUGAGCAGAUACUGAAUGUAAACCCUGCAGAUCCUGAUAAUUUAAGUGACUCUCUCUUUUCCGGUGAUGAAGAAAAUGCUGGGACUGAGGAAAUAAAGAAUGAAAUAAAUGGAAAUUGGAUUUCAGCAUCCUCCAUUAAUGAAGCUAGAAUUAAUGCCAAGGCAAAAAGGCGACUAAGGAAAAACUCAUCCCGGGACUCUGGCAGAGGCGAUUCGGUCAGUGACAAUGGGAGUGACGCCCUUAGAAGUGGAGUAACUGUGCCAACCAGUCCAAAGGGAAGGUUGCUGGAUAGGCGAUCCAGAUCUGGGAAAGGAAGGGGACUACCAAAGAAAGGUGGUGCAGGAGGCAAAGGUGUCUGGGGUACCCCUGGACAGGUGUAUGAUGUGGAGGAGGUAGAUGUGAAAGAUCCUAACUAUGAUGAUGACCAGGAGAACUGUGUUUAUGAAACUGUAGUUUUGCCUUUGGAUGAAAGGGCAUUUGAGAAGACUUUAACACCAAUCAUACAGGAGUAUUUUGAGCAUGGAGAUACUAAUGAAGUUGCGGAAAUGUUAAGAGAUUUAAAUCUUGGUGAAAUGAAAAGUGGAGUACCGGUGUUGGCAGUAUCCUUAGCAUUGGAGGGGAAGGCUAGUCAUAGAGAGAUGACAUCUAAGCUUCUUUCUGACCUUUGUGGGACAGUAAUGAGCACAAGUGAUGUGGAAAAAUCAUUUGAUAAAUUGUUGAAAGAUCUACCUGAAUUAGCAUUGGAUACUCCUAGAGCACCACAGUUGGUGGGCCAGUUUAUUGCUAGAGCUGUUGGAGAUGGAAUUUUAUGUAAUACCUAUAUUGAUAGUUACAAAGGAACUGUAGAUUGUGUGCAGGCUAGAGCUGCUCUGGAUAAGGCUACCGUGCUUCUGAGUAUGUCUAAAGGUGGAAAGCGUAAAGAUAGUGUGUGGGGCUCUGGAGGUGGGCAGCAAUCUGUCAAUCACCUUGUUAAAGAGAUUGAUAUGCUGCUGAAAGAAUAUUUACUCUCUGGAGACAUAUCUGAAGCUGAACAUUGCCUUAAGGAACUGGAAGUACCUCAUUUUCACCAUGAGCUUGUAUAUGAAGCUAUUAUAAUGGUUUUAGAGUCAACUGGAGAAAGUACAUUUAAGAUGAUUUUGGAUUUAUUAAUGUCCCUUUGGAAGUCUUCUACCAUUACUGUAGACCAAAUGAAAAGAGGUUAUGAGAGAAUUUACAAUGAAAUUCUGGACAUUAAUCUGGAUGUCCCACAUUCAUACUCUGUGCUGGAGCGGUUUGUAGAAGAAUGUUUUCAGGCUGGAAUAAUUUCCAAACAACUCAGAGAUCUUUGUCCUUCAAGGGGCAGAAAGCGUUUUGUAAGCGAAGGAGAUGGAGGUUGUCUUAAACCAGAGAGCUACUGAAUAUAAGAACUCUUGCAGUCUUAGAUGUUAUAAAAAUAUAUAUCUGAAUUGGUGCUUCUGAGGAAGACAAGUUUUGAGCUUUCUACCUAAGAAUCUAUGUUACCAUCAGACAGAACUUUUUGUGUCAGAAGUUUAAUUUUAAAGUAAGAUUUGGCAAAAUAUAUAUACAUAGUGCAAAAAAUAUAGCAAAGUAUGAUAUUUAAUGUAAAUAUUCAAAUGACUGAAUGUUUAAACCUUCGGCUUUUCUUACUGUUGCUUUAGGUUUCUCUUUCUCCAUUUCAGACCUUAUUUAACAUAGUAAAUUCCAUUAUUUCUUUCACUGAAGUUUCAUAUUGAGUCGGGCAUGGUAGCUCAUACCUGUAAUCCCAGCACUUUGGGAUGCCAAAGGGGUUGGAUUGUUUGAGCCCAGGGGUUUGAGACCAGCCUAGGCAACACAUUGAGAUCCCUUCUCUACAAAAAUAAAAACCAAUUAGCCAGGCAUGGUAGCACAUGCCUGUAGUACUAGCAAAUCAGUAGGCUAGGGCAGGAGCCCAGUAGUUCAAGGCCUCAGUGAGCUAUGAUUGUGCCAACUGUACCCAAGCCUGGGUGACACAGUGAGAACCUGUCUCUUAAAAAAAAUUCGUAUUGUAAUUAGCAAUUUUAGGAAUUAGCUAAUUAAUUGGCAAUUUUAGGUAUAAUAAACAAUGUUUCAUUUGUUAUCCUUUUACUGGAUAUCAUGAAAAAGCAUAUAGUAAAAGUAAGACAGUAAAUGAGAUAAUACGGAACACAAUAGCUGCAGAUGUUUAGCUAUUAAGCCUGCUAUGUGACACUAACUAUCACUUGUUUAGUCCUAUAAUAAUCAAUGACCUCAAUAUUUGUGAUGUACAUACCUUGUUUUGGAAGAACUUCCCGGAACAUUGACUUCACUUCCGCCAUAUCUGAGUUGUUGGAUAUAGUGUUUUUUCCUUCAAUGAGAAAUCAGUAUUAUUCAAGAAUAAAUUCCCAAAGCAGAUUGCCUGAGACAUUUCCAUUGUAGUUUAAGUAAAAUCCAAAUUCCUAUAGAAAGUGAACUACCCUAACCUUGUAUAAUAUUGCCAUUAAUUUCCUGUGACCUUGGGAUAGUUUGUAUAAGCAUUUAGAUCUUGUCAACUUCCAUUAGUCAGUUGUGGUGUUAACUACAAGGCUAGGUGUUCUAAAUUUUUUUCUCUCAUAGUGAAAACUUGGUAGAGCUUCAGUUUUUAAGGCAAAGAUGAUUAAUAUCAUCUGAGGAAAAGGUAUUUGUGUGUAGCCAGCGUGGUUCGUUGAUAGCAUCUCCCCUGAAUGGUGGGUGACAAAAAACAUGACCACUAUUUGGGGGGGGGGGGGUGAGGCAGGUAGUUAGGAAAAGGAGGAACUGACAGGCUAACAUUUCCUAAGAGUCCUACUUGUCUCAAUGGCCAACAGCUGGUUUCUACUUUGUGUCUAACAAAAAGAAUGCUAUGCAUCACUGGCUGCACAGCUGCAAUUGGUAACGAAGUAAUACAGUAGGUGAAACUGGCUCUUGAAGAACAGAAAUAAGGUAGAGUUUCAGUUUACUAUUUUCCUCUAAUACCGAGAUUCUAUAUGCGAAAGGACCAGCAAUACUUAACUAUGAGUAUUUGUUAUGAACAUCCCAGCAUAUAUGCCAUUUUUGCCAGUGACAUUUGCUCCAAGUAUUACAGCCAAGAUUCUGCUAUGCUGUGUGUUCAAGGUGUUCUGGACUAAGCUGUAGAAUGAUCCCUUUCCAAACACAGAUGCUUUUGUAGACGGUCCCACCCACUCAGUGAUUCACCUUGCUGAUGCAACCUUACCAUGCAUUUCACAACAUCACCCCCACAGAUUUAUUAUUUAUAAAGUGGUGAAUCUGGCUUGAUGCCUGCCUUUACCAACCACUGCAAAUUAGUUAUAAUCAAGUGAAGCUUCUUCUGGUCUUUGUUAUUCCCGCUCCAUUACUUUGACAUUCCUAAUAAAAGUCCUACUCUGUAUUCAAGUAUCUUCCUCUCUCUUGCUGAGAUUCUUAUUCUGGAACGUCUAAGUUCCUGAAAACCUCUAUCUGCUUUCCAGAACUUUGUCAUCAAACUUUACCCCUAUACUGCUCUAGCAGGGAGAGAUGAUGAAAUAAGUAAUGGACCAGGAAUAAAGCAACUCAUCACUAAAUGGAAUGUGAAGUAAAUACAAUAAACAAUUUCCUUAGACUGCACAGCAUCUCCUACCAUAUUUUUUUAGGCCUGCCAGUGGUACCUAGUGAUCACUGCCUUUUUUUUUUUCCAGGUUAGGAUGAAGGUUACUAGCAUUGCAGACCCCCUGAUUAGCCUUGAGUUGAACUAUCAAAAACACCACCUAGCCUCUCCAUUAAAUACAUCACAGUGAAAAUAUUCAUUAUGAUCACAUUUCCUUAUUUGAAGCAAACCUGACAUGAUAUGCCACUGAAAGGGAGGAUAUUAUAGAUGUUGAUAAAUGUGAAGGAAAUACAUAGGAGCUAAGGAUUUUUGUAUGUAUCACCAAAAUGCUAAAGUGGUAGGUAAACAACGCUUAGCUGUUAUAUAGCAUAAGCAACUCCAGCUACUCUGAAUUGUCACUAUCCUUUGUUUUCUCUUAGUCUGAUACCUCUUUCACAUCCAAAAUCUGGCCUGACAAAAACAAUGAAACUUGCUGCUCUACCAAACCUCAGUUCUGUGUUUGACUAAGCUGCCAUUGUUACUGUAAAGGGUGUGGAGCCAAAGGGAUGGUAGGGAGUGGGUUGCGCCUGGUGUGGGGGAGAUCAGUGCCAGUCACUUGCCUGGAUAGAAUGUCUGUUUUAAUAGGGUUGGUUCUUGUUUCUAGGCCCCCUUAGGCAUUGGCAGGAAAGAAACAGGAAGGGAAGGGCUAAAAUAAGCAAGGUGGUGGUUGGAUGGCCCACACUGGCUGGGCUAUACUUUCUUGAUAUCAGCUGCCCUGGGAGUCCAGAGUAGGAAGAAGUACAGUCAUGUGUUUCUUAAUGAUGGGGUAUGUUCUGAGAAAUGCAUCAUUAGAUGGUUCUGUCAUGGUGCAAACAUCCUAAGAGUGUACUAACACAAACCUAGAUGGUAUAGCCUCUUAACACAAACCUAGAUGGUAUACAGGCUAAUAUAAACCUAGGCUAUAUGGUAGAGUCUACUGGGCCUACGCUAUAAACUUGUACAUGUUACUGUACUGAAUACAGUAGGCAAUUGUAACACAAUGGUAUUUGUGUAUCUUAACACAGAAAAAGUGUUCUGCCACAAUGUCAUGAGCAUUACAACGGGGUAUGACAUCAUUAGGCAAUAGGAAAUUUUCAGCUUCAUUAUAAUCUUAUAGAACCACUGUUGUAUAUGCAGCCUACUGUUGACCACAUGUUGGUAUACAGACAGUAUUUCCUUCUCCCACAUGGCCUGCUAAUAGCCAAACAUGGGUGAUCUGCUUAGAGUAAUGCACUCUAAGCAGUUGUGGCUACUUUUAAGAGAACUUUCUUGUCAGGUGAGAUGUAUUUAAACCAGGGACAGAUGGGCCAAGGGAGAAACAUAACAGCUAUGGCUGAAAUUCAUGUGUAUUCUACAACUGCUAUGGCCAUUUAAUUCAAUAAAUAUGCGAGUUUUUUUUAUCAUAUGCCAAGCAUUGUUCAUAAUGAACAGGACUAAAACCCAAACCUUUGCCUUUUUGGAGCCUACAGUCUAGAAUAAGAAGAGAGAAACAACAGCAUGCCAGAAGGUGGUAAGAACUAUAGAAAAUAGUGUAAAGGGGAUUAAGGAAUGCUGAGGGGGGUGGUAUUUCAAUUUUAAGAGGAAAAUCAUGAUGACCUCAUUAAGGUGACAUUUAAGCAAAGACUGCUUUUGUGUGUAUGAGUGCAUGUGUAAUGUCUUUAAACUGCAAAAAGUUUAAAGUCUGAUAGUAUCCACAGGUAGGGAUGGUAUAGGGAAAUUAGUAGUGUUGUUAAGCUUUUUUAGAGGGAUAUUUUGCAGUACUGUAUCUACUAAAACUAAAUAUGCACAUUUUCUUUGACUCAUAGUAAUUGGCUCUAAAGAACACAAAUGUGUAAAAAUAAAAGAGUGUUCAUUAAAGCAUUGUGUUGAAUAGCAAAAUGUUCAGCAAUAGAUGAAGCUAACUAAAUGUUCACCAGCAGAUCAAAGCUUAAAUCAUGGAACAUCCAUAGAACGGAACACUAUGCCAAAUUAAAAAAUGAUGUAGAUUGUCAAGGCAUACUUUAAGAGAAAACAUUAAAUUACAGAAAAUGAAAUUAUUCUUACAUUAAUAGAACCAAACUUAUAAUGCUCACAGAAUACAGUGUCAAUUCAUCAUUUUUUGAAGGCCUUGGUUUAGGUAAAUGGAAAAUAACCUGCUGCUUCCUUUUCUUACACAGAUUCUAAAGUUUGUAAUUUCUCCCAGAGAUAAUAGUUUUGAUGAACAGUGCAUUCCAAAAUCAUGACAAGGGCCCACACAUCUUUCAACAAUGUCUGCAGGGUGCCAGGAGUUGAAACUCAUAAACUAUGCUGACAUCAGUACACUUUACUGCAGAAAUUCAUUGCAUCAGCUCCAAGAAUAGGCAAAGUAGCAGCAACAAUUUAUUAAAGGUAGUCAGUCUAUGUUGCCUACCCAAGGUGCUAACACAUACUCUAUACACACAGGAUUAAAUGCUACUCUCUUCUUUGUAGGACACUGGAGAGGGGUAAGCAUGCUGAGAAGUGAGAUGGAUUUAACCGGCAACUCAUGGCAAAGGUGCGUAUAGCUGGGUUUGAGAAGGCUUAGUCAUGACUAGAAAAGUGUGAAUACUGUGACACAUCCUUGCAAAAAAAAUGUUCAGCUGAAGCCUCUAGACUAACUUCUGGUUUACAGAAGAAAAAAGGGGGGCCCAUUUCCAAAAAGACUCCUGGCUUGAACUCUUCAAAAUGCCAAUGUCACAGGGGGGAAAAAAAGAUGGGGGAACUCUACUACAUUAAAGCUAAAGAAAAAUUUUGACUGGAUCUUGAUUUUUUUUUUUUUUGCAGGAUUGGGAAGGAGAAGGUAUAAAAGAUAUUCCUGGGUAAAUUAGGAAAAUUAGCACUUGGGCUAGAUUUUAAACAUUACAAAAGAGCUGUAAUAAUGAUAUUGUGUUUUGCUGGAGAACUUCAAAAUUUUUAGGGAAUUCAUGCUGGAAAUCUUAAGGGUGUCUUGCCUAACAAUAAGUGUCUGCAACUUUUUACAACAAUGAAAAAGUGAAGAGGAAUGAAAAAAAUAUGGCAAAAUGUUAACUGCUGCAUAUAGAUGAUGGGUACAUGAAUAUUCAUUAAAUUAUUUAAUUCUUUCAGCUUUUAAAUAUAUGAACACUUCCAUAAUAAAACAUUGGGGAAAAAAAUCAUGUCAGAAAGACUUCACGGGGAAACGUAAAAAAAGGUUGAGUAGCAGGCGCUCAGUGCUCAGCUGAAUUUCUGAUAAAUUGAAGGUCUCUAAAACUUGGCUGGAAGUGUCUUGGGAAUCCAAGAGACACCCGAUAUAUUCAAACUUUCGGUGUAGACAUGGUAGUGAAGCUAAAAACAUAAGCGCUAUUAUAUAUAUAACAUACUGAUUGUCAUAAAAGACGUACAAAAAAUGCUAAACUCAGAGGAAAUUACUUCCUGCUGGUGAGAAUCUGGAGCCACAUCUCCACGGAUAACAGAAUCAGAUACAGAAUCACAAAA